Molecule: ribosomal RNA, 253 nt
Filed under: uncultured bacterium
Lineage: Bacteria
Description: partial 16S ribosomal RNA
Rfam family: Bacterial small subunit ribosomal RNA
Source: RNAcentral
GACGAACCGAGCGAACGUUGUUCGGAAUCACUGGGCUUAAAGGGCGCGUAGGCGGGCUGUCAAGUCUGGGGUGAAAUCCCGCGGCUCAACCGCGGAACUGCCUCAGAUACUGACGGUCUCGAGGGAGGUAGGGGCGAGCGGAACUGAUGGUGGAGCGGUGAAAUGCGUUGAUAUCAUCAGGAACUCCGGUGGCGAAGGCGGCUCGCUGGACCUCUUCUGACGCUGAGGCGCGAAAGCGUGGGGAGCAAACAGG